UACCCGCUUUUAAAAGUGAUUUAAUUUGGUUUCCAAGUUACUGAUUUUGCUUUUAAUAGGUCUCUUCCGUUAAGUAGCUUGCAACGACGUUAACUUUACACUUACGUAGCGAUAUUUUUCUUCUCUCUCCUCUAUUAUUCCUGACACUUCUUUCUCUCUCUCCUGUUUCUCUCUCUCACCUCACCAUUAUAACAUCAUUAUAAUUACCUCUCUCACCUUUUUCUCUCUCUUCUAUUUCUCUCUAUUUUAUUUCUCUCUCUCCAUUAUAACAUCAUUCUAUGGACCUUCUAUCUUUUUUCUGGUGCAUUGCAUUUGCAGAUUCAAUAAUCAAUGAUAAUAAUAAUAGUAUUAUUAUUAUUUCAAGUCCGGAGAGCCCUGCAUGAAGGAAACGUCAGAUCAUGAAGAAUAUGAAAGCUGGUAUACUAGCUUCCUUUCGCUGAAGAAGCAUAACGCAACCUAUUCUGACCUUUAAACCAAUACAGAAAGAACUAAUCUUCAAACGAAUGAAGAGGUUGCGAUUAAGCUUGAAACUGUGAAAACCAAGCACCCUCAACUGUUGUAUGAAUCGAAGCUGUAUAAAAUUCUGCAAGGAGGAAGUAGGCUCUCUUCUUGGUGAAAUUGUUUUUGUGAAAUUUGUAUUUGUUGUUGGUUUGUGAUGCUUACUUAGCUUAAAUGUUUUUGGUUGACCAUUUUUAUUUGAGAGACAAUUUCUGACUAUUCUUAUGCUUGCUGAUCAGAUGGUAGGUUUUUCCCUAUUGCGGAGACAUCUUUCUUAAUUCUGACCCACCUUAAGUGAUGUUGUUUAUACAUUUUUAACUGCUUACAAAUAAAUCGAGUUGAAUUUGUUCAUUCCAAAUCUUUUUUACAUCACAACAUCAAACCAGACAACUUCCUUAUGGGUUUAGGAAGGCGUGCAAAUCAAGUAUGUAGUCAAUUGUUGCUUUUUAAUUCUUUAUCUUGUCAUAUAUUUGAUGUAUCAUCUUCGCAUCUGCCUCAUUUAAGGUGUAUAUCAUUGACUUUGGCCUUGCUAAGAAAUAUACAGACACAUCUACACAUCAGCAUAUCCCAUACAGUCUGCCUUGGCAGGGAUUGAAAGCUGGUACUAAGAAGCAGAAGUACGAGAAGAUUAGUGAGAAGAAAGUUUCUACUUCUAUUGAGGUGUGAUUGUGUAGUUAAGAAGGUUUUUUGUUUACUAUCACAUGUCCAUAUUUUGGUUC
Molecule: long non-coding RNA, 1217 nt
Organism: Vigna radiata var. radiata (mung bean)
Lineage: Eukaryota; Viridiplantae; Streptophyta; Magnoliopsida; Fabales; Fabaceae
Exons: 4
Source: RefSeq, a predicted model, not a curated record